GACGAACGCUGGCGGCGUGCUUAACACAUGCAAGUCGAACGGAAAGGCCCUGCUUUUGUGGGGUGCUCGAGUGGCGAACGGGUGAGUAACACGUGAGUAACCUGCCCUUGACUUUGGGAUAACUUCAGGAAACUGGGGCUAAUACCGGAUAGGAGCUCCUGCUGCAUGGUGGGGGUUGGAAAGUUUCGGCGGUUGGGGAUGGACUCGCGGCUUAUCAGCUUGUUGGUGGGGUAGUGGCUUACCAAGGCUUUGACGGGUAGCCGGCCUGAGAGGGUGACCGGGCACAUUGGGACUGAGAUACGGCCCAGACUCCUACGUGAGGCAGCAGUGGGGAAUAUUGCACAAUGGGCGGAAGCCUGAUGCAGCAACGCCGCGUGCGGGAUGACGGCCUUCGGGUUGUAAACCGCUUUCGCCUGUGACGAAGCGUGAGUGACGGUAAUGGGUAAAGAAGCACCGGCUAACUACGUG
This 468-nucleotide ribosomal RNA is filed under the name uncultured bacterium. Its description in RNAcentral is "partial 16S ribosomal RNA". It matches the Rfam family "Bacterial small subunit ribosomal RNA", at positions 28 to 507 of the family's 1533-position model. The record is from RNAcentral.